RNAcentral lists this small nuclear RNA (99 nucleotides) under Sciurus vulgaris (Eurasian red squirrel). The record is from RNAcentral. Lineage: Eukaryota; Metazoa; Chordata; Mammalia; Rodentia; Sciuridae.
GUUCACUUUGGCUGCCCAUAUCCUAAUCAGAAUGAUACAGAGAAGAUUAGCAUGGACCCUGUGCAAGGAUGACAUGCAAAUUUGUGAAUAUAUAUAUUA